This is a long non-coding RNA of Balaenoptera acutorostrata (minke whale), 446 nucleotides long. RefSeq lists it as uncharacterized. NCBI's taxonomy places the organism in Eukaryota, Metazoa, Chordata, Mammalia, Artiodactyla, Balaenopteridae. The transcript has 3 exons. The record is from RefSeq and is a predicted model, not a curated record.
AUAGGGUGGGUGGAGAACCACUGCCCUGGUCUGAUGGAAAUACCUCUUCUCCAUAUUCCCAGGGCUUCUUCCACUCACCUGGAGCAUUAGCCUGUGGCCCUGCACAGCAGCAACUGAUUUCCAUAUCUGCCUCCCCCACUGAAUUAUAAGCACCUUCAUGCAGCGGCUGACUGACCAUUGAUUUAACUCUGUGUCCAUAACGCCUAGCAUGGGAGCUGCCAUACAUUGAUUCUAUACAAAAGACAUGGCUCCAGAAAGUAACUCCUGUACGCCUCCUUCAUCACACACCGAAUAAUAACAUUUCAUGGCAGAUAAAUUGGAAAAUUCCAAAAUUCCAAUAACAAUUGCCCAUAAUAUAACGUAACAUCCAGAGACAACUACUGUUCGAAUUCUAGAAAAUAUCCUUCUAUGCUUUUCUUCUCUGCCUGGGAUACAUAUCUACAAGG